GCUUCAGCAAGACACAGUCAGAACUAUAAGUCUCAAAACCCCGACGAGUAGGGUGGCGUGCCGGUGCGCGUUGAAGGCCAAGACGUGAGUCAGGCUGGAGCCGCCGGUAGUGCAGAUCUUGGUGGUAGUAGCAAGUACUCUGGUGAAGUAACCUGGAGCUGUGAGGUAUGGAUUAGGGUUCCAUGUCAACAGUGAUUGAACAUGGGUGAGUCGAACCUAAGCCAGCUGUGAAUGCAGUGACAUCCCAACAACGGGGACGCUCAAACAUGCAUCUAGGUGCUUACACCCCCUAGGCACGCCUCUCUUGAUAGUUCUCUCUCUCUCACGUUCACAUUACCAAAGUGUGCCUGGUACGGAAAAAGCGCAGUGCGCUUGGAUCGAUGAUGCGAGUCUGUCUCAAUCUCUACGGAGAAUAAAAGGCGCAGAUACACACGAUGACCAUCACCUACGCGGUGGUGUGAGUGACGGCGUCAGUAUGGCAAUCUGGUGGUGAGGAUGUAAGACGCACACACACAAUGAUCACUAUAAAUAUAUUAGUGAGUGUGAGGCGCAACUGUCUGGUUACGCUCAUUAGCGUUGUUGUCACAGAGAGGGAAUGAAGAAGACCCAAGCCACACACACACGAAAUGUGUGUGUGUGAUAGCUGAAAAGGGUCUGUAGUCAAAAGAGGAUCUAUGCGCCACACACGCACACGAGAUGUGGGUGUGCUGGCAAAAGGUUCUGCAGUCAAAUUAGGAGCUAUAUAGAGAGAGAGAGAGCCGGGAGAGUGGGUGAGCGUGAGUUAACCAUUGCACUUAGUCCCCUGCGUCUGGUUCUUUGUCCGGCGAAAGGGAAUGGGGACUUUUUUCCUUGACCGGUCCCGGCACCCUCGAUUGGCUUUGCCAAUCAAUGGUCCAUGCAAAUGGAACCAGGCCACAGCCGUCGGC
RNAcentral lists this ribosomal RNA (926 nucleotides) under Niphargus croaticus. Its description in RNAcentral is "partial 28S ribosomal RNA". It matches the Rfam family "Eukaryotic large subunit ribosomal RNA", at positions 1335 to 1672 of the family's 3401-position model. The record is from RNAcentral. Lineage: Eukaryota; Metazoa; Arthropoda; Malacostraca; Amphipoda; Niphargidae.